GCCGGGAAUGCCGAAAACCGGGAUUUAAAAGAGUAGGCA
Molecule: non-coding RNA, 39 nt
Filed under: unclassified sequences
Description: DUF805b RNA
Rfam family: DUF805b RNA
About the family: Bacteroidetes, Chlorobi (1 example), Proteobacteria.
Source: RNAcentral